UACGUAGGGUGCAAGCGUUAAUCGGAAUUACUGGGCGUAAAGCGUGCGCAGGCGGUUCGCUAAGACCGAUGUGAAAUCCCCGGGCUUAACCUGGGAACUGCAUUGGUGACUGGCGGGCUAGAGUAUGGCAGAGGGGGGUAGAAUUCCACGUGUAGCAGUGAAAUGCGUAGAGAUGCGGAGGAACACCGAUGGCGAAGGCAGCCCCCUGGGCCAACACUGACGCUCAGGCACGAAAGCGUGGGGAGCAAACAGG
This 253-nucleotide ribosomal RNA is filed under the name uncultured bacterium. RNAcentral describes it as "partial 16S ribosomal RNA". It matches the Rfam family "Bacterial small subunit ribosomal RNA", at positions 524 to 776 of the family's 1533-position model. The record is from RNAcentral.